AGAGUUUGAUCAUGGCUCAGAUUGAACGCUGGCGGCAGGCUUAACACAUGCAAGUCGAGCGGAGAGAGGUAGCUUGCUACUGAUCUUAGCGGCGGACGGGUGAGUAAUGCUUAGGAAUCUGCCUAUUAGUGGGGGACAACAUUUCGAAAGGAAUGCUAAUACCGCAUACGUCCUACGGGAGAAAGCAGGGGAUCUUCGGACCUUGCGCUAAUAGAUGAGCCUAAGUCGGAUUAGCUAGUUGGUGGGGUAAAGGCCUACCAAGGCGACGAUCUGUAGCGGGUCUGAGAGGAUGAUCCGCCACACUGGGACUGAGACACGGCCCAGACUCCUACGGGAGGCAGCAGUGGGGAAUAUUGGACAAUGGGCGCAAGCCUGAUCCAGCCAUGCCGCGUGUGUGAAGAAGGCCUUAUGGUUGUAAAGCACUUUAAGCGAGGAGGAGGCUACUUUAGUUAAUACCUAGAGAUAGUGGACGUUACUCGCAGAAUAAGCACCGGCUAACUCUGUGCCAGCAGCCGCGGUAAUACAGAGGGUGCAAGCGUUAAUCGGAUUUACUGGGCGUAAAGCGCGCGUAGGCGGCUAAUUAAGUCAAAUGUGAAAUCCCCGAGCUUAACUUGGGAAUUGCAUUCGAUACUGGUUAGCUAGAGUGUGGGAGAGGAUGGUAGAAUUCCAGGUGUAGCGGUGAAAUGCGUAGAGAUCUGGAGGAAUACCGAUGGCGAAGGCAGCCAUCUGGCCUAACACUGACGCUGAGGUGCGAAAGCAUGGGGAGCAAACAGGAUUAGAUACCCUGGUAGUCC
RNAcentral lists this ribosomal RNA (794 nucleotides) under uncultured bacterium. RNAcentral describes it as "bacterial SSU rRNA". It matches the Rfam family "Bacterial small subunit ribosomal RNA", at positions 8 to 796 of the family's 1533-position model. The record is from RNAcentral.